GACGAACGCUGGCGGCGUGCUUAACACAUGCAAGUCGAACGGAAAGGCCCUGCUUUUGUGGGGUGCUCGAGUGGCGAACGGGUGAGUAACACGUGAGUAACCUGCCCUUGACUUUGGGAUAACUUCAGGAAACUGGGGCUAAUACCGGAUAGGAGCUCCUGCUGCAUGGUGGGGGUUGGAAAGUUUCGGCGGUUGGGGAUGGACUCGCGGCUUAUCAGCUUGUUGGUGGGGUAGUGGCUUACCAAGGCUUUGACGGGUAGCCGGCCUGAGAGGGUGACCGGCCACAUUGGGACUGAGAUACGGCCCAGACUCCUACGGGAGGCAGCAGUGGGGAAUAUUGCACAAUGGGCGGAAGCCUGAUGCAGCAACGCCGCGUGCGGGAUGACGGCCUUCGGGUUGUAAACCGCUUUCGCCUGUGACGAAGCGUGAGUGACGGUAAUGGGUAAAGAAGCACCGGCUAACUACGUGCCAGCAGCCGCGGUGAUACGUAGGGUGCGAGCGUUGUCCGGAUUUAUUGGGCGUAAAGGGCUCGUAGGUGGUUGAUCGCGUCGGAAGUGUAAUCUUGGGGCUUAACCCUGAGCGUGCUUUCGAUACGGGUUGACUUGAGGAAGGUAGGGGAGAAUGGAAUUCCUGGUGGAGCGGUGGAAUGCGCAGAUAUCAGGAGGAACACCAGUGGCGAAGGCGGUUCUCUGGGCCUUUCCUGACGCUGAGGAGCGAAAGCGUGGGGAGCGAACAGGCUUAGAUACCCUGGUAGUCCACGCUGUAAACGGUGGGUACUAGGUGUGGGGCCCAUUCCACGGGUUCCGUGCCGUAGCUAACGCUUUAAGUACCCCGCCUGGGGAGUACGGCCGCAAGGCUAAAACUCAAAGGAAUUGACGGGGCCCCGCACAAGCGGCGGAGCAUGCGGAUUAAUUCGAUGCAACGCGUAGAACCUUACCUGGGUUUGACAUGGAUCGGGAGUGCUCAGAGAUGGGUGUGCCUCUUUUGGGGUCGGUUCACAGGUGGUGCAUGGCUGUCGUCAGCUCGUGUCGUGAGAUGUUGGGUUAAGUCCCGCAACGAGCGCAACCCUUGUUCACUGUUGCCAGCACGUUAUGGUGGGGACUCAGUGGAGACCGCCGGGGUCAACUCGGAGGAAGGUGGGGAUGACGUCAAGUCAUCAUGCCCCUUAUGUCCAGGGCUUCACGCAUGCUACAAUGGCUGGUACAGAGAGUGGCGAGCCUGUGAGGGUGAGCGAAUCUCGGAAAGCCGGUCUCAGCUCGGAUUGGGGUCUGCAACUCGACCUCAUGAAGUCGGAGUCGCUAGUAAUCGCAGAUCAGCAACGCUGCGGUGAAUACGUUCCCGGG
RNAcentral lists this ribosomal RNA (1343 nucleotides) under uncultured bacterium. Its description in RNAcentral is "16S ribosomal RNA". It matches the Rfam family "Bacterial small subunit ribosomal RNA", at positions 28 to 1378 of the family's 1533-position model. The record is from RNAcentral.